CCUACGGGUGGCUGCAGUCGAGAAUCUUCGGCAAUGGACGAAAGUCUGACCGAGCGACGCCGCGUGCGGGAUGAAGGUCUUCGGAUUGUAAACCGCUGUCGAGGGGGAUUAAGGGCAACUUGAAAGAACCCUGGAGGAAGGGGAGGCUAAGCUCGUGCCAGCAGCCGCGGUAAGACGAGCUCCCCAAACGUUAUUCGGUAUCACUGGGCUUAAAGAGUUCGUAGGCGGCGAAGUAGGUGAGGUGUGAAAGCCCUCGGCUCAACCGAGGAACUGCGCUUCAAACCGCUUUGCUAGAGGGAGAUAGGGGUAAGCGGAACAGAUGGUGGAGCGGUGAAAUGCAUUGAUAUCAUCUGGAACACCGGUGGCGAAAGCGGCUUACUGGGUCUUUUCUGACGCUGAGGAACGAAAGCUAGGGUAGCGAACGGGAUUAGAUACCCUUGUAGUC
Molecule: ribosomal RNA, 445 nt
Filed under: uncultured bacterium
Lineage: Bacteria
Description: bacterial SSU rRNA
Rfam family: Bacterial small subunit ribosomal RNA
Source: RNAcentral